This 1252-nucleotide long non-coding RNA is filed under the name Lonchura striata (white-rumped munia). RNAcentral's name for it is "domestica (Bengalese finch) lncRNA (ENSLSDG00000003118.1)". The record is from RNAcentral. Lineage: Eukaryota; Metazoa; Chordata; Aves; Passeriformes; Estrildidae.
NNNNNNNNNNNNNNNNNNNNNNNNNNNNNNNNNNNNNNNNNNNNNNNUGGGAUUUUUUUUGGUUUUUUGGGGGUUUUUUGGGGGUUUUUUGGGGUAUUUUUGGGAUUUUUUUGGGAUUUUUUUGGGGAAUUUUUGGGGUAUUUUUGGGAUAUUUUUGGGAUUUUUUGGGGAAUUUUUGGGGUAUUUUUGGGGUAUUUAUGGGAUUUUUUUGGGAUAUUUUUGGGGUAUUUUUGGGGAAUUUUUUGGGUAUUUUUGGGAAUUUUUGGGGUAUUUCAGGGUAUUUUUGGAGAUAUUUUUGGGGUAUUUUUGGGGUAUUUUUGGGGUAUUUUGGGGGAUAAUUCUGGGAUAUUUUUGGGAUAUUUUUGGGAUAAAUCUAGGAUAUUUUUUUUGGGUAUUUUUGGGAUAUUUUUUGGAUAAUUCUGGGAUAUUUUUUGGGGUAUUUUUGGGGUAUUUUUGGGAUAUUUUUCGGAUAUUUUUGGGAUAUUUUUUGGGGUAUUUCCGGGGUAUUUUUUGGGAUAAUUUUGGGGUGUUUCGGGGCCUCACCGCCACCUGGCGCGCUGACCGUGGUCUCGGGGUUUUUGGGGAUAUUUCAGGGAUAUUUUUGGGAUAUUUUUGGGGAUAUUUCAGGGAUUUUUUGGGGAUAUUUUUGGGAUAUUUUGGGGAUAUUUCAGGGAUAUUUUUGGGGAUAUUUCAGGGAUAUUUUUGGGGAUAUUUUUGGGGAUAUUUUUGGCAUAUUUUGGGGAUAUUUUGGGGAUAUUUCAGGGAUAUUUUUGGGAUAUUUUUGGGAUAUUUUUGGGAUAAUUUUGGGAUAUUUUUGGGAUAUUUCGGGGAUAUUUUCAGGGAUAUUUUUGGGAUAUUUCAGGGAUAUUUUUGGGAUAUUUCAGGGAUAUUUUUGGGGAUAUUUCGGGGAUAUUUUUGGGGAUAUUUUUGAGGAUAUUUCAGGGAUAUUUCAGGGAUAUUUUUGGGAUAUUUUUGGGAUAUUUUGGUGAUAUUUUUGGGAUAUUUUGGGGAUAUUUCAGGGAUAUUUUUGGGAUAUUUCAGGGAUACUUUGGGGAUAUUUCAGGGAUAUUUUGGGGAUAUUUCAGGGAUAUUUCAGGGAUAUUUUGGGGAUAUUUAGGGGAUAUUUUCGGAUAUUUCAGGGAUGUUUUCGGGUGUUUUUUCUCCUCACCGCCGCCCGGCGCGCUGACCGUGGUCUCGGGCCCGAAGUCGCCGUAGCCGCCCUCGGAGCGGGCGCGCACCCGCACCCCGUAGA